RNAcentral lists this unclassified non-coding RNA (250 nucleotides) under Hevea brasiliensis (rubber tree). The record is from RNAcentral. Lineage: Eukaryota; Viridiplantae; Streptophyta; Magnoliopsida; Malpighiales; Euphorbiaceae.
UAUGUUGUGUAAUUCAUAAAAUAUACCAAAAGAUGUUUGUUCCUGAAAUUGUUGAAACCUCUCUUGUCCGAGGAAACUCAACAGAUCACCAAAAACAUUCAUGUUUGUACAUGAAGACCAAUGCGUGUAUAUCUUCUUCGCCCUAACAAUUUAUUUGUCUUUUUUGGAAGUUGGUACAUCUGAUUUCUUCCUUUUUGCUGAUCUUCUUGUUGAUUGUCUUGAAGGUUUAGAAGAUUGAGAAACGUCGGUA